CUACGGGAUGCUGCAGUGGGGAAUAUUGGACAAUGGGGGAAACCCUGAUCCAGCAAUGCCGCGUGUGUGAAGAAGGCCUGCGGGUUGUAAAGCACUUUCGGUUGGGAGGACUGCUUCUAGCACUAAUAUUGUUGGAAGUUGACGUUACCUUCAGAAGAAGCACCGGCUAACUCCGUGCCAGCAGCCGCGGUAAUACGGAGGGCGCAAGCGUUAAUCGGAAUUACUGGGCGUAAAGCGCGCGUAGGCGGCUAGAUCAGUCGGGUGUGAAAGCCCCGGACUUAACCUGGGAACUGCAUCCGAUACUGUCUAGCUUGAGUACAGGAGAGGAGAGUGGAAUUCCACAUGUAGCGGUGAAAUGCGUAGAUAUGUGGAGGAACACCAAUGGCGAAGGCAGCUCUCUGGCCUGAUACUGACGCUGAGGUGCGAAAGCGUGGGGAGCAAACAGGAUUAGAUACCCCAGUAGUC
This 465-nucleotide ribosomal RNA is filed under the name uncultured bacterium. Its description in RNAcentral is "partial 16S ribosomal RNA". It matches the Rfam family "Bacterial small subunit ribosomal RNA", at positions 339 to 795 of the family's 1533-position model. The record is from RNAcentral.